GUUUGAUAUUGAGUACCUGUAAGUCAUGUACAGGAUAGGUAGGAGCCAUUGAAAUAGGGACGCUAGUUUCUAUUGAGGCGUUGUUGGGAUACUACCCUUGACUUAUGGUUACUCUAACCCGCUGGCAUAAUCGGCCAGGGAGACAGUGUCUGACGGACAGUUUGACUGGGGCGGUCGCCUCCUAAAGAGUAACGGAGGCGCUCAAAGGUUGGCUCAGAUUGGUUGGAAAUCAAUCG
This 236-nucleotide ribosomal RNA is filed under the name Klebsiella pneumoniae. RNAcentral describes it as "partial 23S ribosomal RNA". It matches the Rfam family "Bacterial large subunit ribosomal RNA", at positions 2109 to 2344 of the family's 2925-position model. Lineage: Bacteria; Pseudomonadati; Pseudomonadota; Gammaproteobacteria; Enterobacterales; Enterobacteriaceae. The record is from RNAcentral.